Molecule: long non-coding RNA, 3700 nt
Filed under: Malus domestica (apple)
Lineage: Eukaryota; Viridiplantae; Streptophyta; Magnoliopsida; Rosales; Rosaceae
Description: long non-coding RNA (MDOM_LNC017010)
Source: RNAcentral
AAAAGGUACCAUUCUCUUUUUCUCAUCAAGAAUUAUGAUUUUAGUUUUGAAUCACUUGAUUUCAUUGAGUAUUGAAGAAGUUAUGAACGUUUAAAGUUUACCCAGUUUCCGGCUAGUUUUCAAGUUAUCACUCGAACCAUUCAACUUUGAGGCUAUUUUCCGGAAAUCUCUGGCAACCAUUGGGCUUUGAAAUAGGUAUAAUCUUAUUCUACACUUUCCUAUCUUCAUUUUGAUAUAUUAUGGGUCGAAUUUGGUUAAGAAACGAUUGAGUUACGAAGCUUUGAAAAUUGCCCAAAGUUUCAGCCAAGAGCUCCAGGACACUUAACAGAGUUUUUAAUGGAAGGACCAAAAUGAUGGAUGGUGGACAAUCUCAGGGACUACUUUUAUCAAUUUGGAAUCUCAGGGACCAAAGUGAUGAUUUAUGCAAAUCUCAAGAAGCAUUUUGGUGAUUUACCCUUUUCGAGUGUGUGUUAGUGUUAUCUUCCAGAAAUUAAUACGGUCUAGUUGGCGCCCAUUUAUUUGUUCCUACACAUAAAAGCAAGUCCUUCAUAUGACAUAUAUCUCAUACUCCAGUCCAAAUCCACAAACCCUUCUUCCCCUUCACGUCAAAUACCAGAAGACCCCUCUCCUUUGUCAAAUUUACAGACCUAUAUAGCAAAAGACUGUUUUUCAUCAAUCCUUCUGACCAAGAACGUGGUUGAGCCGGAUACCAAUUGUGAAGUGGAAUUUGUGCCUCCUCGUCCGGAGUUGGUGGCAUGGGAUUGAAGAUCUUGUAGGUUCUGACAAGACAGACAAAACGAAUGAGACGACACGAGGUCAUAGCAGUCAUCUGCUUUUCAAGGGGGACUCUCUAAGACCUUCUAGCGAGGGACUUAAUCGAGGCGGGUUCCUCGUAAUCCCAUUAAAGCUAGUCCAUGUGGUAACAACCACAGGGCUACACUAACUUUUAGGGGGCGUUUGUUUGCCCUCACUAAGUGGGACUGGACUAGACUGGACUAGGUGUUAGUGUAGUCCCAAGUUUGUUAGAGGAAGGGACUAGGUGUUAGUGUAGCACCCUUAGUAGCUUAAUAAAACUCUUAUAUAUUCACUUGUGCACUCCUCUUUAUCUAGUGAAUAGAUCCCCAAAUUUGUUUUGGCUAGCAAUUUUAACUUAACAUCUCCAACGCCAUUUGGUACUAAGAUCUAGUGGUACUUCUCUACUUGUAAGUGAAGGGUCCUAGGUUUAUUCUUGCCAAAGGUGAAUCUGAACCACAUUAUUUCUAGUCCAUUGUGAGGUUUAGCCCAUCCCCAAUCUCUUAGUGUAGAUAAUAUCGUUUGUUCAAUAACAAAAAAGAAAACUUAACAUCUCCAACAACAUUCUUUAUUCUAAACUAUUCUGACUAGCUUAAUAUACUCUCUUUUUUAACGAAUAAACUCUUUGUUAAAAAAUUGAGGAUAUGUGUGCAGUGAAACAUAAAGUAAAUAAGACACAGUAUUUACGAGGUUCAGCAAGUGUGCCUACGUCCUCAGGGCAACAGCUGACACACCUCGAUCCCGAUAUCCUCCAAACACUAGGAUGGGCAUGUGCUGGGCGACACCUAAGAGUGACAAAAGCCAUUUUAACAUGCAUGUGAGUUAUGAAGAAAAGAACGAACGUAAAUAAAAUAUGUAAAUUUAAAUAUAAUGAAAUAUGCAAAUGCAGGAACGUGUUUAGAUCAUACAACUAAUCAAGAAUACUGCGAAAGGAAUAUUAUAAAAUGUAAGAUUACAGAGAAAUGGGUCCUAUAGCGAGAUGAGGACUCAAAGCUAUUGAUAUGAGAAUGUCUCGACGCCGGGAUCGUACACCUCAUUUUUAAAUCUUUAAGGGGGUGCAAAACAAAGGGUGAGUGGACCAAAGUUUAUAAUAAUAAUAAACAAGAACCAUUUUAUUUUUUUAAUGUACUAACCCCCUAUUUUGAAAACUCAUAUAGCAUACAUAAAUAGUAGGUUUUCCCAAAAACCUAACAUGCCAUAAAACCUUCGUAAAAACAUGUAUAUAUAUAUAUAUAUAUAUAUAUAUAUAAUAGUAGUGCUCAGUAGCGGUAUCAUAAUCGCCUUAAGGCAUAUCCAUCACCUAAGGGUGAAGUUAAACGACAUUGGGUUACGCCAGUGAAGAAACAUGGUAGGCCCCAUCACUUGAAGAUGAAGUUGUACGACUCUAGGUUACGUUAGAGAAGAAAAGGUACAUAACACACCGACACUAGCCGUGGCUAAUGAAGCUGUUUGACACUGGUUUCGCCAUUGAAGUUGAGAGUAUGUCAUAAAUAUCUCACUACUCAUCAAUUGUGUCAUAUGGCCAUAGACAGAUACCCACUAAAUAAGCACAGAAAAUAUAAAUCACAUAUCUCGUAUCAAAUCAUCAGAGCUCAAAAGCUCAAAGCAUCAUAUCAUAAAUCUAUAAGAGCAUUCUAGCUCAAAUCAUCAUCAUAAAACAUAUUCACAAAUCCAUAAUGUCUCGAAAGGCGUAAAAGCAAUAGUUUGUAAAUCUUUCGUAAGAUGUAAAUUCAAUAAAUCAUAAAAAUUUAAUAAGACAUAAAUUUGAUAAAUCAUAAAUAUAUCUAAUGAAACGUAAAAUCAGGAAAUCAUGCUUUUCAUGAAUGCAAUCCUAGAAUUUAAAAUCAUGCAUUUAGGAAGGGGUCCACUCAUAGCCAUGCAGUCGAGUCAUAAUCAGCCAUGCGAGCUCUAGAAAUCUUUUAUAUGCAUUUCACCUAGAAACGAAACCAUUUACGUAAAUAUGUAAUGUACUAUCCUAAAUUCACGUAUUCGUACAAAAUAUGGUUAAUAAAAGAGCUAUAUUAAAGCGAUCGAAUUUUAGAAAAUGGAAGGCGAAUUCGGGUUCAGCAUGUUGAGGUACCUAACAAGGAACCUCAGGUUCCUCUAUCUACCGCCACAAUGACACGCCCCAACCCCAAUAUCCCCAAAUAUCAUGGUAGGCACGUGUUGGCUGACACCCAAGGGUGACGAAGCCAUUUUAAAACAUGCAUACCGAUAAAAAUAUGUAAUUAGAAAGAGAUACACUAGUGCAUAAUCAUGUUCAGAGCAUACAACUAAUCAAGAAUUAAGUGAAAGAAUUAUGAUAGAAGGUACAAACCGAGGAAUGAGUCCUACAAAGAGGACACUCGAAGAUACCUAAUCGAAAGUGUCCUGACGCCGAGAUCGCGUGGCUCGAUUCUAACACCUAAAGAGGCGCAAAACCGAAAAGGUGAGUGGACCAAAGUUUAUAAUAAUACUAAUAAUACGAAAACCAUUUUAUUUAUGAACAUACUAACCCCCUAUUUUGAAAACAUAUAUAUAGUACUACAUAAUAGGUUUUCUGAAAACUCUAGCAUGCCAUGAAAACGUUCGUAAAACAUGUAUGCGUAAAACAAUGCUCAGAGAUGGUAGUAAAACAGCCCAUAGGCAAAUCCAUAAAUAUCAUCCAUAUUGUACUCUUUAGGGGUAUCAUAGUCACCCGAAGGCAGUACCUGUUCAUCACCUGAAGGUCAAGCUGAAUAACCUGUCCAUCACCCGAAGGUGAACCUAUAUAACCUAUCCAUCACCCGAAGGUGAAGCUAAAUAAAAUAGCAUACAUACAUACCGACACUAGCCGUGGCUAGUGUGUUGGAAGUAUGCCCACAAAGCCACUCAUUUGAUGUAAUAGCCUUUGGAAUACUUAUUGUAUUAAACUAUUAUAUGUUUAAUG